AUUUGCUUUUGAUUUGAUAUCUCGGAUAAAAUAUCUGCAAGAUCUUAAAUAAUGUUGUUUAUUGCACCAAAAACAAAUAACUUUAGGAGUUAUAUUCUGCCCUAUAUUAUCAACUGCCCUAUAUUUAGUUGAAUAAAUUGGGAGGGGCUCAGCUGUCUGUAUCACUCUACACUCUGUCCUAGAAGAAGAAGAAGAAGAAGAAGAAGGAGGAGGGGGACGGGGGCUGUAACAUCUGCACUUCUUUCUCUGCCUAAAGCCACAAGUCGUUUUAACCCCUUCAUUCUUGGUUUCCCUCCUUAAGUUAUCCAAGAACAAAGCUACUUCUGUCAAAGUGCUUUUUUCUCUAGCUACCACAAUUGCAGUUGGAUCUAGAUCUUGAAAUUUUUUCACAAAUUCAUUAAUUAACUGAUCUUCAGAAAAAUCAGCAACAAGUCUAUAUGCAUUUUCAAAUUUUACAAGAAAACUAAAUAUAUCCUCCCCCUUGAGUGGUUUUAGUUUUUCCAACAUUUCAGUGUCUGCAAAAUCAUUCCCUGUUGUUAAUUUUAUUAAUUGUGUUAAUCUGUCUCGCUUAUUUCCAUAUAUUAUUUUAUCAUUGUCCUGAAAUUUUACAAGCGUGGUCAGUCUACAUGCCAUUUGAGUCGGCAGCCAUAUUUUAAACAAUCUAUUCCUUUGUUCGUCAUUUAGGCUGUAUUUGUCCACAUUUGACUCAAACAUUCCAGCAUUAGUAAAUGCAUCCACUGACGUGUCAUAAACUGGAAUACAUUUCACAAUUUUCAUUAAUUGUUCAUGUAUUUUCAAAUUAAGUUUUGCAGCUCUGUCUUGAAAUUUAUAUUUCUGCAAAUCACUCUGUGAGGAUACAUUUUCAGUAUCUAUUGGUUCUGGGAUUAGAUUCUGUGUCUGUAUUUUUCUUGUAUUAACACACACUUGCUUAACUUCAUUUCUAAGCUGGCAAAUAAGAUCAUUUCUUAGUUCAACUCUAUCCUCUAAUUCACAAACUGUUUCUGACAAUGUGCUCUCUGUUACAUUGUUACACUGUUCAUUUAAAUCUGAUUUGUCUUCUGUUAACCCAUUCAAAUCUACUUCUUUUUCUGCUGAUUCUAAAUUUUCUUUACCUGUAUUUCGUUUACAAAUCAAUGCAUUGUAAGUACAGACUAGUUUCAUAACAUUUCUGAUCUUUUUUUUUUUUUUUUUCUUAUUAACAAACAAUUUCUUGUCAAUUUCACUAUUGGCAAUUUCACAUUGUGUGUAUAAAGAUUGCCACAAAACAGCAUCUGAAUAGCUGCUAUUAAAUGCAAACUGCAAUUUACUUUUCUCUGCGAUAUUCAUUUAUAAAUUCCACAAUUCAUUUGUUCCAACAAAAUCUAACUUUCCUUAUUCCAACAUGCCAAUAACCUCUUGCUUAACAACAUAUACAAGAUUACACAAAGUUCCUAACUAGGUUAUUCGUCCAGCAAAUAUACCUUGUUUCCCUCACAUUCCUCACUGAGUUUACAAGCAUUUCACCCAUUCACCCCACCCCCCUGUAGCCAAUACUCAUAGCAGUCAGAGCAAGAGAAAGCAACAAAG
This 1566-nucleotide long non-coding RNA is filed under the name Pelobates cultripes (western spadefoot toad). Lineage: Eukaryota; Metazoa; Chordata; Amphibia; Anura; Pelobatidae. The record is from RNAcentral.